GCGAGUGAAGCGGCAACAGCUCAAAUUUGAAAUCUGGCCCCAGGGUCCGAGUUGUAAUUUGCAGAGGAUGCUUCGGGCGAGGUGCCUUCCGAGUUCCCUGGAACGGGACGCCACAGAGGGUGAGAGCCCCGUCUGGUCGGACACCGAGCCCGUGUGAAGCUCCUUCGAAGAGUCGAGUAGUUUGGGAAUGCUGCUCAAAACGGGAGGUAUAUGUCUUCUAAAGCUAAAUAUUGGCCAGAGACCGAUAGCGCACAAGUAGAGUGAUCGAAAGAUGAAAAGCACUUUGAAAAGAGGGUUAAAAAGUACGUGAAAUUGUUGAAAGGGAAGCGCCCAUGACCAGACUUGGGCCCGGUGAAUCACCCGGCGUUCUCGCCGGUGCACUUUGCCGGGCACAGGCCAGCAUCAGUUUGGCGCGGGGGAGAAAGGCUUCGGGAACGUGGCUCCCUCGGGAGUGUUAUAGCCCGCUGCGCAAUACCCUGCGCCGGACUGAGGUACGCGCAUCGCAAGGAUGCUGGCGUAAUGG
This 523-nucleotide ribosomal RNA is filed under the name Cordyceps fumosorosea. RNAcentral's name for it is "partial large subunit ribosomal RNA". It matches the Rfam family "Eukaryotic large subunit ribosomal RNA", at positions 89 to 637 of the family's 3401-position model. The record is from RNAcentral. Lineage: Eukaryota; Fungi; Ascomycota; Sordariomycetes; Hypocreales; Cordycipitaceae.